Molecule: long non-coding RNA, 764 nt
Filed under: Betta splendens (Siamese fighting fish)
Lineage: Eukaryota; Metazoa; Chordata; Actinopteri; Anabantiformes; Osphronemidae
Description: lncRNA (ENSBSLG00000016991.1)
Source: RNAcentral
GCCACACCAGCGCAUGAUGAACUGUAGGUCAGGUGAAAUCGUUUUCUCCUUUACAGAUCCUUUUAUUUUGAAACACGUUUUAGUAAAUAUGACUUACUUUUAUUUUCUGAAUAAUGAGCUGCAGUGAAGUAAAGUCACAUUAUUUAUGCUCCUGCAUUAGUCAACAAUGAGCUUCAUGUUUGUGCUGUACCGCUGCAAUUCAUGUGCUUGACCGUGUGUAAGAGCCACUGUAGAUGUGCUCAAUGAGCCAAGAAGACCCAGAGUCGCUGCGAUCCGAUCCAGUCUCUUUCCUCUGGGCCUGAAGCAGCGCACCUCCAUCAUCGUCAUCUGAAGCUUUUUCGAUCCUUUGAAUUUCCUCACGCCCGUGUCUCAGAGUCUGCGUCUUCUUCUGUGGUGCUUGUGCUCAGGUUCAUUACGUAGAGACGCACCUGGCACGUUUAAUGUCAACGGUUAACGGUUAACCUGACAGUUAAAUCAAAGGAGAAGAAUUAGCUAAUCACUCCCGCUGUAAUGAGGCCGUCGGCCCCAAUAAGACAGCAGCUUCAGCGUUCGUCCUGCCGCAGAGCCGCUUCGCAGCCUCCAGCCUGUGUUUAACUCCCUUACAUCCCUCCAGCCUCCUCCACAGAAGUCGGGCUCUAAUCUGUAAUGCCACAGGCAGCCAUCUACUGAAAUCCAUUAGCUCUGAUGGUCACCGAAUGGUCAUUAUGAGGUCAUUUAGGAGGUUCAGCACGGCAGUCUUCUCCCCACAUAUUAGGGAAUCAUGA